RNAcentral lists this ribosomal RNA (516 nucleotides) under uncultured bacterium. RNAcentral describes it as "partial 16S ribosomal RNA". It matches the Rfam family "Bacterial small subunit ribosomal RNA", at positions 28 to 523 of the family's 1533-position model. The record is from RNAcentral.
GACGAACGCUGGCGGCAUGCCUAAUACAUGCAAGUCGAGCGGACUUGAUGAGAAGCUUGCUUCUCAGAUAGUUAGCGGCGGACGGGUGAGUAACACGUAGGCAACCUGCCCUCAAGCUUGGGACAACUACCGGAAACGGCAGCUAAUACCGAAUACUUGUUUUCUUCGCCUGAAGGAAACUGGAAAGACGGAGUAAUCUGUCACUUGGGGAUGGGCCUGCGGCGCAUUAGCUAGUUGGUGAGGUAACGGCUCACCAAGGCGACGAUGCGUAGCCGACCUGAGAGGGAGAUCGGCCACACUGGGACUGAGACACGGCCCAGACUCCUACGGGAGGCAGCAGUAGGGAAUCUUCCGCAAUGGGCGAAAGCCUGACGGAGCAAUGCCGCGUGAGUGAUGAAGGUUUUCGGAUCGUAAAGCUCUGUUGCCAGGGAAGAACGCUUGGGAGAGUAACUGCUCCCAAGGUGACGGUACCUGAGAAGAAAGCCCCGGCUAACUACGUGCCAGCCGCCGCCGUAA